Molecule: ribosomal RNA, 742 nt
Filed under: uncultured bacterium
Lineage: Bacteria
Description: bacterial SSU rRNA
Rfam family: Bacterial small subunit ribosomal RNA
Source: RNAcentral
AGAGUUUGAUCCUGGCUCAGAGCGAACGCUGGCGGCAGGCCUAACACAUGCAAGUCGAGCGCCGUAGCAAUACGGAGCGGCAGACGGGAGAGUAACACGUGGGAACGUACCCUUCAGUUCGGAACAACCCAGGGAAACUUGGGCUAAUACCGGAUACGUCCGUAAGGAGAAAGAUUUAUCGCUGAAGGAUCGGCCCGCGUCUGAUUAGCUAGUUGGUGAGGUAACGGCCCACCAAGGCUACGAUCAGUAGCUGGUCUGAGAGGAUGAUCAGCCUCACUGGGACUGAGACACGGCCCAGACUCCUACGGGAGGCAGCAGUGGGGAAUAUUGGACAAUGGGCGCAAGCCUGAUCCAGCCAUGCCGCGUGGGUGAUGAAGGCCCUAGGGUUGUAAAGCCCUUUCGGCGGGGAAGAUAAUGACGGUACCCGCAGAAGAAGCCCCGGCUAACUUCGUGCCAGCAGCCGCGGUAAUACGAAGGGGGCUAGCGUUGCUCGGAAUCACUGGGCGUAAAGCGCACGUAGGCGGCUUUUUAAGUCAGGGGUGAAAUCCUGGAGCUCAACUCCAGAACUGCCUUUGAUACUGAGGAGCUUGAGUCCGGGAGAGGUGAGUGGAACUGCGAGUGUAGAGGUGAAAUUCGUAGAUAUUCGCAAGAACACCAGUGGCGAAGGCGGCUCACUGGCCCGGUACUGACGCUGAGGUGCGAAAGCGUGGGGAGCAAACAGGAUUAGAUACCCUAGUAGUCC